GCAUCCUUACACUGCAAACCCAAGACUCAUCUACCCAUAAGAGAGGUGAACAGUGCACCGAUCUUAAAUGGAUUAAUCACUAUUCUCCGUAAUAAUCUUUUGAUCAGGAGUACUUAAAAACUAAUCACUAAUUAAUGCAUGUCUCAAAUUCUCAACACCUUAAGAAUAUAUAAAACUUAUCUUUGUUAAUUUUUAGGAUAAAUCAUAGACACAUAAACAUGAUUGAAAAUAAAAAUAUCUUUUAUUAAUAAUAAAAAUAUUAUAAGUACAAAGAUAAACCCUAAAAAUAUAAAAUGUGUCAACCCAUAUCUAACAAACUCUAACCUGACCUAAAGCAAAUUGGCCAUAUACCUAAGAUCCAUCUUCUCAAGGUGACCUUUGAUCUUCUACUGGCUGAGAGGUUUGGUCAGUAGAUCCAUCAUAUUUUGCACGGAGUCGACUCUCUGCAUCUCGAUGAACUUUCUUCUCGAGGUAUUCGCGUAUGAUGUGAAACCGUCGCUUUAUAUGCUUAGACUUCUAGUGAGAUCUGAGCUUCUUAGAUAGGGCUAUGGUGUCGUUGUUAUCGCAGCACAGUGCAAUGGCAUCUAAUGGCAUCACAUCUAGCUUCGCAACAAACUUCUUGAACCAAAAUAUUUCUUAGCAGCUUUAGAGGUGGCGAUGUAUUCGGCC
RNAcentral lists this long non-coding RNA (669 nucleotides) under Elaeis guineensis (African oil palm). RNAcentral describes it as "long non-coding RNA (EGUI_LNC044651)". Lineage: Eukaryota; Viridiplantae; Streptophyta; Magnoliopsida; Arecales; Arecaceae. The record is from RNAcentral.